AACUUCUACCUGGUGUGAGCAAUUUUCUUUCAUUAGGGAGAAGGAGCGAGGAAGGUACCAAACAGCAGCAGACUUUUGAACUUGAGACAGUUUUGGCUGCUUCAACUUAACUUUUUUCAUUUUACUUAGUCCCUCAAUGAGUACAAUCAUUUGGCAUGCCUACUUCACUUUUUUUAAGAGAACUAACAGCGAACAGGCAAC
This is a non-coding RNA of Macaca mulatta (Rhesus monkey), 201 nucleotides long. Lineage: Eukaryota; Metazoa; Chordata; Mammalia; Primates; Cercopithecidae. The record is from Rfam.